Molecule: ribosomal RNA, 525 nt
Filed under: Triticum aestivum (bread wheat)
Lineage: Eukaryota; Viridiplantae; Streptophyta; Magnoliopsida; Poales; Poaceae
Description: partial small subunit ribosomal RNA
Source: RNAcentral
GAGCACAAACAAGAGGAAUUUGACCUACGAGCGUUGCUUUUCGUAACCAUCAACGAUUGGCCUGCUCUUAGUAACCUUUCGGGACUGUCAAAUAAGGGAUACAAUGCAUGCACGCACUGCUUACAUGAGACUGAAAGUGUACAUUUGCCAAAUUGUAAGAAGAACGUGUACCUUGGGCAUCGUCGAUUUCUUCCGAAAAUUCAUCCAGUAAGAAAGAAAGGCAAUCAUUACAACGGCAAGGCAGAUCACCGGCCGAAGCCUGCGGAACGCACUGGUGCUGAGGUAUUUGAUAUGGUCAAGGAUUUGAAAGUCAUCUUUGGAAAGGGUCCUGGUGGACAAUCAGUUCCGAAGGGAGCUGACGGGCACGCAGCCAUGUGGAAGAAGAAAUCUAUAUUCUGGGAGCUAGAAUAUUGGAAAGUCCUAGAUGUCCGCUCUGCAAUCGACGUGAUGCACGUUACGAAGAAUAUUUGCGUGAACCUCCUAAGCUUCUUGGGCGUGUAUGGGAAGACAAAUGAUACAAAAGAA